This is a long non-coding RNA of Asterias rubens (European starfish), 5989 nucleotides long. RefSeq lists it as uncharacterized. The record is from RefSeq and is a predicted model, not a curated record. Lineage: Eukaryota; Metazoa; Echinodermata; Asteroidea; Forcipulatida; Asteriidae. The transcript is spliced from 4 exons.
CAGUCAAACUAUUACGUGAGAUGUACAAUUUGUUGUGACUGGUACCCUGCUCAUUGCUGCCUAGCAGAAGACAUGGGCUUUCUCAUUGAUAUUCCUUGCCAAAACAAAAAAGGGUCGAUUUUUGCCUAUAAUCGAUUCCAUGUUUUGUUAUCUUUAUGCUACUUUUGCCUAUCGAUUAGCGUUAUGUUUUCAAAAUUUAGUGUUCUUGAAAAUAUCGACUUUGGUAACCGGCUUGUGUUUCGGUUACUUCUAUUAUUCGGAAAUCGGUAUCAUUGGGUCUGUUCUUCGCGCGCCAGACUAUUUCCAACGACGAGGCGAGUAUCGAUGCGUAGUGAGCAAUUUGAGGCCGAGGACCCAAGUAGAUGUCUGAGACCAGGACUUGAGGAGCUUCCUAAUUAUUGUACAAUGAGUUUUGUAAAUGAACUGCUCUCUCCUUGAUAAAAGAUUGACUUUUCAACAUUCCUCAUGACACACUGAGCAUCAUGAGGUGGACUCAACAUACAAGCAACAUGUGACAGUAAACUGAAGAUGUAGAGGCAUCACAGAAAGACAAUGAACUCCUUGGCACUAUUGGACCCAGACAGAUUCCUAACAUCUACUGCUAUUUGAAAUGAUAAAACCAUGGAGGAGUACAUUAGAUUCUAAUGAUGGCCAAGAUGAACUGCUCAUAACACAAACUCAGAAGUGUGAAGUUUCCAACACAACCUUAACUGAAGCUCUUCGAUGUCUGUUCACCCAGCGCCUUGCCAUGAACUACUGCGUGUUGUUUCAACUCAGGGAAUUAUGUGACUACAGGGCGACUACAUGUAACUGGAUCGCUUUGAUGUCUGUUCACCUCUCAUUGAUAACACUCACCAUGAACUACUGUUUGGUCUUACCAACCCAGGGAAGUAGGCAUCUACAAGACGUCAAUGCUGGAACAUUUCUUGACACUGCAGACAAACACUGAACUAUGGAUCUUGGCCAUCAGACUGAGAUGGCAAUUGACAGAGGAGGUGGUUUCUACAAAGACUCUUGGAAAUCCAACCAGUGUUCAUCAUUUUCAUCAAACAGUGUUUAAAGCAUGGAACGUUUCUUUGUUGAUACUAACAAUCUGUGAAUGACUUCUUGGCUUCUUUAGGCCAAGUAUUAUAUGUCAUCAAUUAAUGGAACACUUAAGUGACACCAUGAUGACAUGAUAUGAGACUUUGCUCUUUGUGUGGAGAUGCAGCACAUUUAUAGAUAACUCUUUGACCCCAGAGGGACAUGAGGUCACCUGGGGUUAUAGUGAAGCAGAAUAUGGACAUUCAUCUGGAAGAAUUAAACAGGAUAAUUUUGAAUUAUUUACUUUGUAUGAAUACUAUUAGCCCCUCACAAAAAAUAGUAAAAGGUUAAAUUUAAGAAGAUGCAAUGUAGGACAAAUUAUCCUAUCUGAUGAAUAUCAAAUCCAAUGAUAUAAGUUGUAAGGACAAGUUGGGAUGUUUUGCUGCAAUCUUCUAAAACGUAAAACCAACAAAUUUAAAAAUUCAACCAUGAAGUACACAAAAUUAGCAUUACAUGUGCUCAAACAAUUCUACUCCUUAAAAAAGGUAGCACAAAAUGCGAUGGUUGACAAAAAGGUCAAUAUAAAACCAUAGAACUAAUAAAUGAGCAACAUGUUUAUUUGUACAUUUCAAUUUGUUAAAAGGUAGCACUACUUGACAAAAAGUCAAUUUAUACAAACAAAUUCUGAGGAAUACACUUGAACGAUUUCACUUUUCCAGAAAGUGGUACAUUUGAAAGCUGAUUGACGAAAAACAAAAAGUACAUUAUUUGAUACAAGCAGUUAUUGUGAGGGGCUUAUAUAACUAUAAGACUUGUGACCACAUGUUUACAAAUAGGUCUUGAGCAUAGACUUCUUGCUUCACAAAAAGUGUAGAUGGGUUAAAAAGAAAAAAAAACAUACAAUCUUGCAUAUUAUGAACACUUGUUUCAGUUUUUUGUUUGGGGAAAAGGGGAGCAACUCACAUUUUGUCAGCUGUUGUCUUUUAUCAAAUGUUAGGUUUUUGUGUUGAAAAUCUGGUACAAAAUGUAAACUUGCGGGAAAUGCCAUACAUUGCUCAAGAUCCAUCAUUUUGUAAGCAUGUGGUAUGUAUAAGAUAAAUGGUACAGCAUUGGUUACUUUAGUUAGGAUUUAGUUUUUUAAUGAACUACAUACCAAAGUCAGCCUGUAAUUGAUUAAUGAUAUACUCAAAUAUUUUAAGGCAAAAUACUUGUUGAAAUUAUUACCCAAAACCAAUCUCCAAUGAAAACAUACACAAGUUUUAAAACUGUUUUUAUUUUUAUUUCUUGACACCAAUUUACAGGCAAACACUUUUGAGAUAAGUUACCAAAACCCAUUACAAUAAAUAGAAAUAGAAACAACUUUUACUAAGAACAAAUUUACAGCAGAUUUGUUUUUGGACAGGUUCAACUUUUGAUGACAAACAUUGUAUCUUUAAAACUGCCACUUUUGCCAGAUAACACUAGAUCAUUUCAAAAGUGAGUCCAAAACUAUGGAACAUCAUUCCCUUUGACACAAGGGUUGACGACUCUCUUGCCAUUUUCAGAAAACAUCUUAAAUAUUUAUUCCAUGAAACCCAGGUAUUUCCUUUUCAAGUGAUCUCUCUUAUAAAACUAUUGUUUGAAUUCAAAUUUAGUAUUGUUAUUGUAACCAAUGCUGUACCUUAAUGGUUUAUGUAUUUAAAAUAAUAGUCCUAGGGGAAACACAAAGAGUGCAUGUUGGUAGCUGGAUACAAGAUUGGUGAUACAUGAACUGUCCACAUUUCUGAAAACACAAAGUAUUUAAAUGCAUGUACACUAGUUGUAUCUGCUGAUGUGACAGUGUUCAUACAUGCUCCUAUACAUUGUUACAAGUAAUACUCUCUUUAAUUACUCUACUGAUUUUGUCAGAUGACAGGUCAGAAUGAGAAGGAUAAGAAAGGAACUCUCAGUUUUUCACAGCAAAUCUGUAUGAUAAACACAAAAUUUAUUUUUUUUGAAAAGUGAAAACAACCUUGAAUUACUUACUUAUUGUGUUAAGAUGUGGUACUCAUAGUAACAAUUAUUGACACUGAUUCCAGCUGGAAAAAAGCGUCAAUUGACAAGAAUGCAGCACUCUCCCAAAUGCAUGAUGACUCCAUCUACAUAUACAAACUAUGCAUUCUUGACACUUGUAGCCUAGUGGUUAGGGGAAACCCCCUAAAUGACACACACUUUAUGAUUUGUCUUUCCAUUAUGGCCAAUCUUUGCAGUGAGAUUGGGAUAUUGGUAAAAGGUAGUGAGAUGGUCACUGAAACUAGCAGGGCCCUCCUCACAUUUGACUAGGCAGACAUCGAGUUGUACUUUACCAAGUUUGCUAUCCAAAAUGUUUCAUAUUGUGGCAGUUCUUGUGUUAACCAGUCUUGUAACCUAAGAUUGUUUCAUAUUUGCUGCAUUUCAAAAUGAUUGCCAAAACUUAUUUUUUUUUAUUCUGGAUCUUCCUUUUACUCUCCAAUUUCCAUAUGCAACAUUCCACUUGUUCAAAUUUUUCAAUGAAAUCCAAUGCAGUGUUACUAAUGAAACAUUUAACUGUGUUCUACCAACAGCUCAUGAAUGUAUCCCCUCCCCUUUUUGGCACCCCGGUGCAUGCAAGCCAUCCUGGUACUCGCACGAGUGUUCCCUGCCCGCAAGUGUCGGCAGGCUGGUCGGUGGGUUGCCCUCUGUCUGCAUUUAACUGGCGUUUGGCUGUUUGUGAUGUGUCAUCUUUCCCGAUCAUGUAGUCUGGAUGAAUCAAGGACCCAAAGUUGGCUACAACAUGGUAGGGUCUUUUGAACUUUAAUAACCAGUUCUUUCCAUAGAGGACGAUGUGUCUACUACUACUCCAGGCAUUGUGCAUGGACAGAACACCUUCAACACCUACUCUGAAAUUCUCACUGUAACUUCUGGACUUGGAGUUGUCUCAUGAGUCUACGAUCAAUGAUGGUGAAAUAUGAACCUAUGGUGCACAUUUAGAGUUGUUCUGACAUCUGUGUGAUAACAGUCACUACCUCAGCUUGCCAAAUCAUGUAGAUAAUGUCUCCAUCUUAUUCUCUCUGCUCUGCAUUAUAUAUUCAAUCCCCAAAUCACUUUUGAUCUCUGAAAAUGAGAUUCAAACAUUUACCUGAUCUAAAACCUGAAAAUCUAAAAAGCCCAAAGAAGCUAGUGCAUGAUUUAAUUCAACUACUUAGAAAAUGUUCCUCAAGAGAAAUACAAAAAACAAAUCUACUUUAUGAGCACAAAUAGUAAUAAACUACACUAUCUAGAUUAAAUUCUGAUGAAUAAGUAGGCAAUUUCAUCUUAGCUAGUACAUUCAAUGAAAUCAGAAAAUGCCACUACCUUUUGGAAAACACAAAAUCAAUUCUUGAGAAUCGCUGUAGGUCAUGUAAUGAUCAUUAAAUAGGCACUUGUCAGUAGGCAGCAAAAAAUACUGAAAACAAUAACAAGUUUAAAAUAUUAAAAAGGAAACUAUGAAGCACAAAGUUGCAAUCUGAAGAUUUUUAUUGACAAAAACUGAAAUGCCUCUGGAAUUCUAGAGUGCUAAUCCACCUCCAAUUAAGUCCAAAUUGUUGCCAUUUUAACAACUCGGCACAAAAGAUGUUGCCAACAAAAUAUCUAAACCUUGUCAUGCUAGGAAAAUGUAAGUUUAAAAUCAAAGUUAAAAAACGAAUCCCAAAAGGAGGCAAUUAUAGAAAUACAAAUUGGAUUCUGAACAUCUUUAUGAUGUUCAAAUAGUUCCAAAGCUAUAAAGGAUAUGAAAUAAAAUAGACAUUUUGUCCACAAAUGUGAAGAUAAACAUUCACAGGAGAUUAAAUCAAAACAAGUUGGUGAAUUUAAAACCGACUAUCUUGUGCUAAAUCUUUUCACUCAAAAAGCUUUUGCCAAAAGCAUCAGCUUGAACAAAAUACCUGAUGAAGGUUUCCUGCACUGUUCCACUGAACAGAAUUGAAAAAGGUCAACAUUGUCUGACAUCCAGACUCAAAAUUGACUAGUAUAGAGGACACCAUAUUAUGAGGCACCAGUCUAUGUUAGACAUCAGCCUCAUUUUGGUUGUCAUGAAGUUGUGUGUUAGAAAACAAAGAUUAAAAACCAAUCUUUAAAAAGAGGCCUUUUAAACUGUAUUUAACUUGUAGCCCUAAAAAUAACAAAAUUGUUAAUAGAGUGUUGCAGUCAUAAAUCAAUGAAGUUUUAAACCUGUAUAUUACUUUACAAUUGGAAAGUAAUAAAUCAACAAUUGAAUAUUGACCUUUCCAGCUAGACUGCAACACAAGGUCCCACAUAGGGGAUAAAAUAGGAUGCCAAACUCUUCAAACAUCUGUAAAACAAAAUGACCUGGUGUGUAGAUGGAGAGCACCAUACUAUAACUAGGGCUGUAAAUGGGGCGAUGUGGUGGAGGUCUGUCCCCCUGUUAGUCAUGGAAACUUUGGUGUCCGAUACGGGGGUCCCAGUCCUGUCAGAUAGGUCCAUGGUCAUUUUAAUUGAAGUUUGAAUUCAUGUACUGUAACUAUACAUCCUCAAUAAUGUGUAUCUAGGAGUAGUAUGCAUAACAGAUAGUCUUCAAUCAAAGGCAAUAUCAAGCAUUAAGGGUCUUAGGAAAACAAGAUUGUAUGAAAACAACAAGAGUAUUGUUACAGCCAGAAUGUAACAACCUUAAAGAUGGAAUCAAGGCAUGGUCAUAUCUGAAGGUUACGAAUCAAAUCUUUUAGGAAUCAGACAAAAACCUGCUUUUGAAUCACAUGAAAUUAUUCAAAAGUAACAGUUGUUUACAGCAGUGAAGAGACCAGCUGAUAUUUCUUUGAAAUGAAUGGAAUCUUUCAGAAAGAAACAAUGAGGAAAUAAAAACCAUCAUGACAGAUGCUGGUUGUUAUUGAAUGAGAUACCAGUCCAAACAAGAAGAUAGAAAUCAUGGGCUGUAGCAGGCACUGAGCCCUUGUAAAAUCACACUCUGUGAAUAGUGAGUGCUUUCUGUGAAGUU